GAGCUUGCUCCCGGAUGUUAGCGGCGGACGGGUGAGUAACACGUGGGUAACCUGCCUGUAAGACUGGGAUAACUCCGGGAAACCGGAGCUAAUACCGGAUAGUUCCUUGAACCGCAUGGUUCAAGGAUGAAAGACGGUUUCGGCUGUCACUUACAGAUGGACCCGCGGCGCAUUAGCUAGUUGGUGGGGUAAUGGCUCACCAAGGCGACGAUGCGUAGCCGACCUGAGAGGGUGAUCGGCCACACUGGGACUGAGACACGGCCCAGACUCCUACGGGAGGCAGCAGUAGGGAAUCUUCCGCAAUGGGCGAAAGCCUGACGGAGCAACGCCGCGUGAGUGAUGAAGGUCUUCGGAUCGUAAAACUCUGUUAUUAGGGAAGAACAAGUGUGUAAGUAACUAUGCACGUCUUGACGGUACCUAAUCAGAAAGCCACGGCUAACUACGUGCCAGCAGCCGCGGUAAUACGUAGGUGGCAAGCGUUAUCCGGAAUUAUUGGGCGUAAAGCGCGCGUAGGCGGUUUUUUAAGUCUGAUGUGAAAGCCCACGGCUCAACCGUGGAGGGUCAUUGGAAACUGGAAAACUUGAGUGCAGAAGAGGAAAGUGGAAUUCCAUGUGUAGCGGUGAAAUGCGCAGAGAUAUGGAGGAACACCAGUGGCGAAGGCGACUUUCGUGGUCUGUAACUGACGCUGAUGUGCGAAAG
This 699-nucleotide ribosomal RNA is filed under the name uncultured Staphylococcus sp. RNAcentral's name for it is "bacterial SSU rRNA". It matches the Rfam family "Bacterial small subunit ribosomal RNA", at positions 76 to 759 of the family's 1533-position model. Lineage: Bacteria; Bacillati; Bacillota; Bacilli; Caryophanales; Staphylococcaceae. The record is from RNAcentral.